This 318-nucleotide ribosomal RNA is filed under the name uncultured bacterium. RNAcentral's name for it is "bacterial SSU rRNA". It matches the Rfam family "Bacterial small subunit ribosomal RNA", at positions 477 to 793 of the family's 1533-position model. The record is from RNAcentral.
AGCUGCAGAAGAAGCACCGGCUAACUCCGUGCCAGCAGCCGCGGUAAUACGGAGGGUGCGGAGCGUUAAUCGGAAUUACUGGGCGUAAAGCGCAUGCAGGUGGUUUGUUAAGUCAGAUGUGAAAGCCCCGGGGCUCAACCUCGGAAUUGCAUUUGAAACUGGCAAACUAGAGUACUGUAGAGGGGGUAGAAUUUCAGGUGUAGCGGUGAAAUGCGUAGAGAUCUGAAGGAAUACCGGUGGCGAAGGCGGCCCCCUGGACAGAUACUGACACUCAGAUGCGAAAGCGUGGGGAGCAAACAGGAUUAGAUACCCUCGUAG